Molecule: ribosomal RNA, 286 nt
Filed under: Streptococcus agalactiae
Lineage: Bacteria; Bacillati; Bacillota; Bacilli; Lactobacillales; Streptococcaceae
Description: partial 16S ribosomal RNA
Rfam family: Bacterial small subunit ribosomal RNA
Source: RNAcentral
UUUAAUGAGAGUUUGAUCCUGGCUCAGGACGAACGCUGGCGGCGUGCCUAAUACAUGCAAGUAGAACGCUGAGGUUUGGUGUUUACACUAGACUGAUGAGUUGCGAACGGGUGAGUAACGCGUAGGUAACCUGCCUCAUAGCGGGGGAUAACUAUUGGAAACGAUAGCUAAUACCGCAUAAGAGUAAUUAACACAUGUUAGUUAUUUAAAAGGAGCAAUUGCUUCACUGUGAGAUGGACCUGCGUUGUAUUAGCUAGUUGGUGAGGUAAAGGCUCACCAAGGCGAC